UACGGAGGGUGCGAGCGUUAAUCGGAAUUACUGGGCGUAAAGGGUGCGUAGGUGGUUUAAUAAGUUAACUGUGAAAGCCCUGGGCUCAACCUGGGAAAGUCAGUUAAGACUGUUAUGACUCGAGUAUGGGAGAGGGUAGUGGAAUUUCCGGUGUAGCGGUGAAAUGCGUAGAGAUCGGAAGGAACACCAGUGGCGAAGGCGGCUACCUGGCCUAAUACUGACACUGAGGCACGAAAGCGUGGGUAGCAAACAGGAUUAGAAACCCCAGUAGU
Molecule: ribosomal RNA, 272 nt
Filed under: uncultured bacterium
Lineage: Bacteria
Description: partial 16S ribosomal RNA
Rfam family: Bacterial small subunit ribosomal RNA
Source: RNAcentral